Long non-coding RNA from Zophobas morio, 1173 nucleotides. RefSeq lists it as uncharacterized. The transcript has 4 exons. Lineage: Eukaryota; Metazoa; Arthropoda; Insecta; Coleoptera; Tenebrionidae. The record is from RefSeq and is a predicted model, not a curated record.
UUUGUGUAUGAAUUACCCUACUGACUCUUACCAUUUUUUAUAUUUAUGUGAACCUCUUGUUACUGUAUAUUUCUCCAUAAGCAAUCAGAUUCUAUUCGUCACUGUAGUAGUUUAACUGUCUUUAAUAAAAAUAUCUUCACUAUUCCUUUGCCCGGCUGCAACUUCGUGCUCUUUCCGAAACUUGAAAAAGUAGAAGCAUUGUUAGGCGAGCCCACUCUCCCGCUUCAACCCGUUCAGCUUGUUUGGAAAUUCUUUAGUACCUGAUUGGUGGCUUAUUUAUAUUUUUGACGUGAACAGGAAUAUCUCAUGACCCGUCGGAACUGAAAAAAAGUCACUAAACAUGGCAUAAUCCUUCUAGCCAAAAGAAAUUUAUAUUGAAAAAACGGGCGCUGCCAAAGAAAAAACGAGCAGAUACCUUCCUAAACGCAAUAAAGUUUAACGAAAAAAAGCCAGGAGCAGUCGUACUGUACAGUGGUAAAAGAUACUCAAGUAAGUCUUGGGGAGCGCUGCGCAAGAAUGUUAAUUCUGGUAUCUACGUAAUGUCUAACAUAUAAAAGAGUGUCAGAUACACAAACCAGCAAAGUGAAAUUUUAACAAGUACAAAAUGUUUUCUUCCUUUCUGGCUUCUGUUUAGCUUACUUUGCGGAGUAAAAGAGGCUUUUAUAAAACCAUCUGGUAGUAGAAAAGAAAGCUACCAGUUACGAUACAAAAGGACAUUGAUGAUCAGCAAAGGAGACCACUACUCUCCUCCUCAACCGUUCUUUCUUGAUACUCCAAUAUAAAGCGCUUCAUCUCGUCCCUCUCGGCCUCUUCUUCUUGAUGUCUGUUUCUAAAAUUUACUACCCAGCUAGAUUCCUAGAAAGAACAAAUAGAUGGAAAAGGCAGAGUGGCUUAUCAAUAACAAACCUUUGGAAGCUCGAUUUUCUUAAAGUGGUGUUUGCACCCUUUCCCUCUCGUCAUGACCCUCCAUGAAGUCUCGGAAAAUUUGCUUGCUAUUAGACGAGAUGCGUCAUAAGUUUUCGACUGAGAAUGAUAGCUGAGAGAGCUAGGAACACCGUUUUCCUUACGGUGGAUGGAAGGUAGCGCGAGAUCCGAGACCGAGGAACCAGGUGUGUUCCGCCCCGAAAUAUGCGAUUCAUCUGAAAAUGCCUAAAAUAAAUCUGCAUUCGUAAA